This 284-nucleotide ribosomal RNA is filed under the name Eubacterium ventriosum. Its description in RNAcentral is "partial 16S ribosomal RNA". It matches the Rfam family "Bacterial small subunit ribosomal RNA", at positions 493 to 776 of the family's 1533-position model. The record is from RNAcentral. Lineage: Bacteria; Bacillati; Bacillota; Clostridia; Eubacteriales; Eubacteriaceae.
UUUGGUAAUUGUGGGAAAGCCGCCGCGGUAAUACGUAUGGGGCAAGCGUUAUCCGGAUUUACUGGGUGUAAAGGGAGCGUAGGCGGCAUGGCAAGUCAGAAGUGAAAGCCUGGGGCUCAACCCCGGAAUUGCUUUUGAAACUGUCAGGCUAGAGUGUCGGAGGGGUAAGCGGAAUUCCUAGUGUAGCGGUGAAAUGCGUAGAUAUUAGGAGGAACACCGGUGGCGAAGGCGGCUUACUGGACGAUUACUGACGCUGAGGCUCGAAAGCGUGGGGAGCAAACAGG